This 527-nucleotide long non-coding RNA is filed under the name Vitis vinifera (wine grape). RNAcentral describes it as "long non-coding RNA (VVIN_LNC003666)". Lineage: Eukaryota; Viridiplantae; Streptophyta; Magnoliopsida; Vitales; Vitaceae. The record is from RNAcentral.
CAGCUUUGGGCUGUGACUCAAAAGACAACAGCUCUGGGUUGUGACUCGGAAGGCAAACAUCUUUGGGCUAUGACUAGGAAGGGAAACAGCUCUGAGCUAUAACUCCAAAGGGAAACAUCUCUGGGCAGUGACUCAGAAGGGAAACAUCUCCAGAGAGUGACUCUGAAGGGGAACAACCACAGACAGGUAAACAGAGGUGGGCAGUGACUCAGAAGGGAAACAGAGCUGGGCAGUGACUCAGAAGGGAAACAGAGCUGGACAGUGACUCAGAAGGGAGACAGCUCCGGGAAGUGACUCGCAAGGGAAAAAGCUCCAGGUAGUGACUCAAAAGGGAAAUAGCUCAGGGCAGUGACUCAAAACAGAAACAGCUCCAGGCAGUGACUUGAAGGCAAAGCAGCUCUGGGCUCUGGGUUGUGACUCAAAAGGAAAACGGCCCUGAGCUGUAACUCGAAAGGAAAACAGCCCCAGGCUGUGACUUGAAAGGAGAACAUCUCCGAGCAGUGACUUGAAAGGAAAAGGUCUCUGAG